GACGAACGCUGGCGGCGUGCUUAACACAUGCAAGUCGAACGGAAAGGCCCUGCUUUUGUGGGGCGCUCGAGUGGCGAACGGGUGAGUAACACGUGAGUAACCUGCCCUUGACUUUGGGAUAACUCCAGGAAACUGGGGCUAAUACCGGAUAGGAGCUCCUGCUGCAUGGUGGGGGUUGGAAAGUUUCGGCGGUUGGGGAUGGACUCGCGGCUUAUCAGCUUGUUGGUGGGGUAGUGGCUUACCAAGGCUUUGACGGGUAGCCGGCCUGAGAGGGUGACCGGCCACAAUGGGACUGAGAUACGGCGCAGUCGCCUAUGGGAGGCAGCAGGGGAGAAUAUUACACAAUGGGGGGAAGCCUGUUGCAGCAACGCCGCGUGCGGGAUGACGGGCUACGGGUUGUAAACCGCUUUCGCCUGUGACGAAGCGUGAGUGACGGUAAUGGGUAAAGAAGCACCGGCUAACUACGUG
This 468-nucleotide ribosomal RNA is filed under the name uncultured bacterium. Its description in RNAcentral is "partial 16S ribosomal RNA". It matches the Rfam family "Bacterial small subunit ribosomal RNA", at positions 28 to 507 of the family's 1533-position model. The record is from RNAcentral.